CAGACAGCUGCUCCCCCUCUCACUCUCCUGAUUCCUGUCGGGGUGGAGGCGGAGGAACGCUGUCGUUUAAGUUCAUAAUGCUUCUCAACUUAAACUCUCACGGAAAGGUGUUUAGUACAGAGUGUGUGCCAUGUCUCGUAUAUGAACCAGAAGCAGGAUGACGACUGAAACGGAGCACAUUGAGCUGAUGUCAGUGACGUGGCCGCAGCAGGCAGUCAUGCAGAACCGGCGGUUCAGAAAAUGGAGUCUGAGAUGAAGCCUGACACUGCUGAGAAGUCUUGUAAAUGAUGCUUGUCAAAAGGUAUUCCAACAGCUGUGCGGUUGCAGUUAAGUUGUGGAAAUGGCCGACUACUGCAGAUCUUGAGGGAGGCCUGUCUGUACAAACAGCAGAUGGAGCGUGGAGUACUGGAUCUUUUCUUCCUAUGCUGAGCUACUUUCUCCAGCCUGCUGUCCACAAGUUUUAUCUUCCCAUGUGUGUUGAACACAAUAAAUGAAAUGGUUUCACUGUCUUGCAAUAAAGUAUGCAGAUUUUCUAAGUGUAUAUAUUUGCACAUAUCUGGAUGGGAAGAAUAAACUGUCAAAUCAA
This is a long non-coding RNA of Cololabis saira (Pacific saury), 586 nucleotides long. RefSeq lists it as uncharacterized. Lineage: Eukaryota; Metazoa; Chordata; Actinopteri; Beloniformes; Belonidae. The transcript has 4 exons. The record is from RefSeq and is a predicted model, not a curated record.